Molecule: non-coding RNA, 119 nt
Filed under: Desulforhopalus singaporensis
Lineage: Bacteria; Pseudomonadati; Thermodesulfobacteriota; Desulfobulbia; Desulfobulbales; Desulfocapsaceae
Description: c-di-GMP-I riboswitch aptamer
Rfam family: c-di-GMP-I riboswitch aptamer
About the family: GEMM was predicted in a large-scale screen for bacterial structured RNA regulatory elements. Genes associated with GEMM are involved in a diverse array of functions, including chemotaxis regulation, signal transduction, secretion and chitin.
Source: Rfam by way of RNAcentral
UUCCCGAAAAGGCAAAACUACUGCAAAGUAGUGACGCAAAGCCCAAGGAUCCGUUGUCCGGAACUACGGUCGGUAAGUUAAAUACCGACGCCGGACAUCAGGACAGCCUGGCUGCCGAA